UACGUAGGGUGCAAGCGUUGUCCGGAAUUAUUGGGCGUAAAGAGCUCGUAGGCGGUUUGUUGCGUCGGCUGUGAAAUCCCGAGGCUCAACCCUCGGGUCUGCAGUCGAUACGAGCAAACUAGAGUGUUGCAGGGGAGACUGGAAUUCCUGGUGUAGCGGUGAAAUGCGCAGAUAUCAGGAGGAACACCGGUGGCGAAGGCGGGUCUCUGGGCAACAACUGACGCUGAGGAGCGAAAGCGUGGGGAGCGAACAGG
RNAcentral lists this ribosomal RNA (254 nucleotides) under uncultured bacterium. Its description in RNAcentral is "partial 16S ribosomal RNA". It matches the Rfam family "Bacterial small subunit ribosomal RNA", at positions 524 to 776 of the family's 1533-position model. The record is from RNAcentral.